RNAcentral lists this unclassified non-coding RNA (365 nucleotides) under uncultured Acaulosporaceae. Its description in RNAcentral is "sequence contains ITS1". The stretch from base 1 to 105 matches the Rfam family "5.8S ribosomal RNA", at positions 50 to 154 of the family's 154-position model. The record is from RNAcentral. Lineage: Eukaryota; Fungi; Glomeromycota; Glomeromycetes; Diversisporales; Acaulosporaceae.
GAAAUGCGAUAAGUAAUGUGAAUUGCAGAAUUCCGUGAAUCAUCAAAUCUUUGAACGCAAAUUGCACUCCUUGGUAUUCCGAGGAGUAUGCUUGCUUGAGGGUUGAAUCACCAAAAAUCGUGAAAAAUACUUUUCACGGAUCUGGGUUUUUCCAAAAUUUUGAAUUUUGGUGACCUAAAAUUUAUCUUAACAAUAUUUCGGUAUGAUAUUGGAAAUGUUCUAUCUUACAUAUUUUUGUAAGUUCAUUAAUAAUUAUUACCAAUUGUUACGUCGUGUUAUUCAUCUAGUAUUUUUUAAUUGGGUGAAAUAAUUCAAUAUAUUUUAAUUUCAACCUCAAGUCAAGUAAGAAUACCCGCUGAACUUAA